Molecule: long non-coding RNA, 1422 nt
Filed under: Sorghum bicolor (sorghum)
Lineage: Eukaryota; Viridiplantae; Streptophyta; Magnoliopsida; Poales; Poaceae
Description: long non-coding RNA (SBIC_LNC014522)
Source: RNAcentral
UUUGUAUAUUGGUCCUUUUCCUUGUUUAUUUCAAAAUUAAAAUUGAUACUUAAGAACCGUCAACAAAGACCCCCAUACUUAGGCUUUUACUUGUCCUCGAGAAAAAGGAUGGUUAAGAAAGAUAUCUGGGGUCAAAACAUUGUAAAACAUUCUCUUCAUACUUGCAGGGUGUUGUAAAAAAUCACUGUGUACCCUAUUCAGGGAAAUAUAUGGUCAGGAGUAGAGGUCCUUUCUUCUCAAUCCUGUCACUUGGAGUUUUUGUUUAUUUUUGAAAAGAAAUUUAGCAUACCUUUAUCCUCAUAGGUUCUCUUAGGUCACUCAUUAUCUUUUAUAUAUCUCGCUGAGGCUGUUUUAAUGUGCAGAAAUUCUUAAGCAUUCUUUUCUUGCAUUUAUUGCGUGGUCAAAACGGGAUCCGAGGAGAAGAAUGCCAUACUCUUAGAUCAAAGACUUUGGAAAUUAAAAACUUGUCAACUCUUACUGGCAUAUUGCUUAUUAGAGGGACCAUAGGCUAUCUUUUUCCUUUUUUCUCUUUUUUUUCAGGUGGAUACCGAGGUACUCCUAAUUCUACUGCCGGACACUUGUCCAUUUUUUCUGCGUGGUUGUCGAGCACUUGCUCCUUUUUAUUUCCUCGAAAUAUUCAUAUUUUUGCAUAGCCCAUGCCUCUAACGUAAUAAUACUUAGGAAGAGUGAAUCUUUCUGAAUAAAAUGUCUUGAUCUUAGGAGUAUGAUAAAUCUCUCAACAAGGGUCUAACUCAUUUUGAACAAACUCAAUACAGAGUAGAUAGCUUUUAUAAUUAUUAAUAUUUAAUUUUUAGGUUUACCAGGCAUAUAAAACAUUGAGGAUGGUAGAUAGAAUUUUUUGAAGAUUUUGAAAUAAAUUCUCCAAGCAACAAAGAUAUCAAGAAUAAGAUACUCAUACUCUACCAUCUCACAUUCCACAGUGACUUAAGUACACAUGGUUUUUAAAUGAUUUUUAAUAAUUUCAAGUUAUGAGGAAAUAUCACAGAGUGAGAUUAAUCAUGAUUAGAAACAUUUUAAUCUUGUUAAUUUAUCAUGUCGGAGACAAUCUUCUGCAUGAACCAAGAUAUAUGUGCUUGUAUAACAUGUGCAGAGUAUGUAUCUGAAUUAUGGAGUAGUGUAGUCGAAGUGUGUUGGCAUGUCGAGGGAUCUCCCCCAUACUUGUUUUCUGCUUUCUUGCAUAAAAAAUAAAGUAGAGACACACAAGACAUAAUAAUAAUAAUAAUAAUAAUAAUAAUAUUUAUUAAUCUUGAGGCAUUUAUUACAAAUGACUAGUAAUGAACUGAAGCUAAUAAUAGAUCUAAACCGAAUUUAAAGAUAACUAACUAAGAUGCGCUGCCUCAAGAUCUAAUCUAGAUAACUUAGCGGCGCCCUAACUCCCUGAUCUUCUUAUUGGCACUAACA